Molecule: ribosomal RNA, 293 nt
Filed under: uncultured bacterium
Lineage: Bacteria
Description: partial 16S ribosomal RNA
Rfam family: Bacterial small subunit ribosomal RNA
Source: RNAcentral
CUACGUGCCAGCAGCCGCGGUAAUACGUAGGUGGCAAGCGUUAUCCGGAUUUAUUGGGCGUAAAGCGAGCGCAGGCGGUCUUUUAAGUCUAAUGUGAAAGCCUUCGGCUCAACCGAAGAAGUGCAUUGGAAACUGGGAGACUUGAGUGCAGAAGAGGACAGUGGAACUCCAUGUGUAGCGGUGAAAUGCGUAGAUAUAUGGAAGAACACCAGUGGCGAAGGCGGCUGUCUGGUCUGUAACUGACGCUGAGGCUCGAAAGCAUGGGUAGCGAACAGGAUUAGAUACCCUGGUAG